AGCAGCCGCCACGGUAAAACGGAGGGUGCAAGCGUUAAUCGGAAUUACUGGGCGUAAAGCGCACGCAGGCGGUCUGACAAGUCAGAUGUGAAAUCCCCGGGCUUAACCUGGGAACUGCAUUUGAAACUGUCAGGCUGGAGUCUUGUAGAGGGGGGUGGAAUUCCAGGUGUAGCGGUGAAAUGCGUAGAGAUCUGGAGGAAUACCGGUGGCGAAGGCGGCCCCCUGGACAAAGACUGACGCUCAGGUGCGAAAGCGUGGGGAGCAAACAGGAUUAGAGACCCCAGUAGUCCCUGUCUCUUAUAC
RNAcentral lists this ribosomal RNA (303 nucleotides) under uncultured bacterium. RNAcentral's name for it is "partial 16S ribosomal RNA". It matches the Rfam family "Bacterial small subunit ribosomal RNA", at positions 507 to 807 of the family's 1533-position model. The record is from RNAcentral.